This 2499-nucleotide ribosomal RNA is filed under the name Clostridioides difficile P64. Its description in RNAcentral is "partial 23S ribosomal RNA". Lineage: Bacteria; Bacillati; Bacillota; Clostridia; Peptostreptococcales; Peptostreptococcaceae. The record is from RNAcentral.
ACGGUGCAGUAGCUUUUUGAAACUGUCGUAACAGAAGCGGUAAUACAGAAAAGCGACCAAUGCACAAACACCAGUCGCUAUCAGUAUGGUUAUGAAGUUGUAAAGGGAAAGCGUAAAGCCAUUGUCUAAUAAGCUGAAAUGUUCCCAGUCGGUACGCAUGAGCUGUUUUGUAUUUAAUAGCAGGAUAACCGCUACGAACACAAACAGGAGUGUCCCCAUUGAAAAGCGAUAGACAAGGUUCUUAUCGCUGGCUCUGAUACGGUGUCCUUUGUUUAAAAUCAUUCUCAUAAAUCAAUCACUCCUUUCUGGGUAUGAAAAAAGCAGUCAAUCGUAUAGACUAACUGCUUUGUGUGCAUGGAUAUGAAGUUGUCAAACUGGAAUUUAACGUUCACUCAUAUAUUGUUUUAUUUCAUCAGAAGUCAAUUUUCGUACUUCUGUAUGUGGAUAUUCUUUAUACUCUCCAACAUUAAACACAGGUGUCAUUUGUUUGCAUUUCUUGUCUUUAUUCUUUUUCAAGAAUAGAUGUAAAUCCUCAUUCCCGGCGAAUAUUUUAUAAGAUACUCUGCCUUUACUGUUCUCUAUCUCAUAAAUACCACAUGAACUUUUCGUUGUAUAAUCGGCUGUUCGUAAAUAAAGUUUUGCAAUUUCCAAUGACUUAAAAGGAAAAUUCCAUCUUUGUAAUCCUCUGUUUGGGUCAUGUUCAAUACAAAUGCAACGUCCACAAGUUCCACAAAUAUAUUGAGUGUGGUUUUCUAAGCAGUCCAAGGGAUUUAGUAAUGGUGUUAUUCUAUUUUCAUCAGAGUAACAUUCUUCACACAUUUUUCUUUUCGCUCCUUAUCAAAUUCUAAUUUGUCGCUUUCUUCAUACCCAUAUUAUAACAGUUCCGUAUAUCCUCUACAACGAAAAUCUAUUCAGCAAGUCUAUUUUUUCGGUUGUCCCUGCGGUGUAUGGUUCUGUGAAGUGCCUGUGUUCUGAUUGCCUUUAUUCUUCAGUACAAUAUCUUCUGCCUUUACAUACCAGUCCACAUCUGCACCCGUAUAGGUUUUUCGUGAUACCGUAUCGGCUACGGGAUUGACAAGCUCCACGACUGCAUUGUAAGGAAAUUCCCUUAACGGUACUUCUGGCGGUACGGACACGGGGAUAAUUCCACCAUGCAGACUGCACUUCAAAUCAUAGAUACGCUUUUUAAGCUGGGUACUCGGUGUCCCGUCCUCAUUUUGCAAGAACACAUCACGCACCGCUGUAAAUUUUAAUUCUCCAAAUGUUUUCUCUUUGUCAAUGACAAAUCCAUUUGAUAAUCUCAUAAAUUCUUCACUCCUUUACUUUUCUUCAACUGCUACAAUAUCAUCAGCUACUAAUACAUAAUCGGUAUGUCCCACAUCCCCGAUUGCGUACCCUCUGCCGUAUAACUUCGGAUUGACAAGUUUUACUUUCUGUUCAUACUUGAAAUGCUUUUCGCCAGCCUGCACGGGAAUUUCCACCACAACAUUUUCGCCUUUCUGUACGUCAGAAUAAAGGUUAUAGCUUCGUCUGGCUAUGACCUUGCGGUUGUUUUUAUCCCUUUCAAAGAUAGGCUCGCUUUCGCCUGCAAAUUCAAGAGUUCCAAAAGACUGUGCCAUAUCUGGCACGACAUAUUUCAUUUCCAUAUUGUUUUACCUCGUUUCUUUCUAUAUUUGAUAAGUUUAUGAUUGUAAUUUUUUAUUCUGGCUUGUCUGCCGUUUGACAGUUUCGGCGGAGAACGUGAUUUUUCUUUCAUCAUACCGUUACCGCCUUAUGAUUUUUUCAUUGUACGGCGUUUGUAAAGAUAUGUUCCAGCCAGUCCACCAGCAGAUGUAAGCAACAUCACAAGAAAUGCCAUGACAUUUGUACUGUCGCCCGUUUUAGGACUGUCGCUAGGUCUGUUUGGCUUUUCUGGUGUCUGCGGUGUUUCGAGUUUCUCUGGGACUUCUGGUUUUUCAUUAAAAGUAAUCGUCUGUCCCUCGUCCUCAAUAUCCUUAUGCUCGGUAACUUUCUUCGGCUCGUCUGGAUUGCUUAAAUCAUACAAUUCUUCAAAAGUUACAAGCUGUUUGCCGUCAAGGGAAGUAGCGUCAAAGGUAAAGGCAACUUCCGCUUUCAUAGUUUCGCUGUCAGCGGUAAAGGUGUAAUCACUUUCCACACGUUUCCCAUUGAUAAGAAGUUCUGCAUUUUCUUCUUUCAACAUCUGCCAGCCUACAAGUUUGUACUGUGUACCGACUUCCAAGCCCUCUAAGGUUACGGUAUCAAUGAUUGUAACGUCUUUUCCAGCUUCAAUCUCUUUGUUGCCGUCUUUGUCGGUAGCAGUCGUAUGUAUCUUGAUGAUACGUUCUGUAAUCAAUACAGUUUGUCCGUCGUCCUCAAUGUCUUUGUGUUCCGCAACUUUCACGGGUUCGUCUGGAUUGCUUAAAUCGUAUAAUUCCUCGAAUGUUACCAGAUUUUUACCGCCAAGCUCGGACGCAUUGAAUGUAUAAGAAAUUUCCACUU